AUGGCUGAGAUUGCUGAUGAAGAUAGUUCCACCGGCAUUGAUUUGAUUUGUGCUUUGUGUGAUAAUGGUGGUGAAAUCGCAAGCUGUGAAGGCAAGUGCCUGCGGUCAUUUCAUGCAACAAAAGAUGCUAGUGAAGACUGCAAAACAUUGGGCUAUACUAGGAAUCAGUUUGAUGCGAUGAAAGUUUUUCUGUGCAAGAAUUGUGAACAUGAAAGAUAUCAAUGUUUUGCCUGUCACAGGUUGAGUUCAGCGAAAACAGAUCCUCCUGAGGUAUUUCCUUGUGCUUCAGCAAGUUGUGGGCACUUUUAUCAUGCUAAAUGUGUUGCACAAUUGCUCUUCCCUGAAAAUGAAGCAAAAGCAACUGAGUACACGACAAGGAUAAUCAAUGGGGCGAAAUUUGCAUGCCCAGUCCACAAAUGUGAUGUUUGUAAAUAUGGCGAAAACAAGGAGGUUAAGGAGCUGCAAUUUGCUGUUUGCCGACGGUGCCCAAAGUCAUAUCAUCGAAGAUGUCUGCCAAGGAAAAUCGUCUUUGAUGACGUAAUUGAGAAUGGUGUGUGCCUUUUCCAAAGGGCAUGGGACGGUCUUCUGCCAAAGAAUCGCAUCUUAAUAUAUUGCCUCAAGCACAAUAUUGAUCCAAAACUUCGAACUCCUCUAAGAGAUCAUAUUAAGUUUCCUGAUGAUCCUAUCACUAAAAAAUCAUCCAAUGUGAAUGGAUUGAGAAGGGUUAAGAUACGACGCCUUGAUGACUGCCUCCCUGUCCCAUCAUCCAGUAGCAAAAGACCCCUCGGUACAUCAACUUGUUCUUCCUCCAUCAAUUCGACAGCGAAAAGGAAGAAAGAACAUCUGCCUGGAGGUACUAAACAUCCCAGUAUGCAAAAAUCAGUCAUGUCAGUGAUCCCCAUUAGCACAUUCCCUGAGAUUGACAUAAACACGGCGACGAGGAUUUAUGACUUUGCACAGAAAGCAUCAUCAAAUAUAACUAUUGAGGAUGUACAGAAACAGCUAGUGGUUUCGUCUACUUACACAUCAUUUAUGAAGAAUACUGAUAAAGUUACAUUGGGAAAGGUGGAAAGAUCUGUCGAGGCUGUUAAGACUGCGGUUCAUAUGUUAGAAAGUGGUGCGGAUAUAGAAGAGGCCAAAGAUGUAUGCUCACCAUAUGACCUUUUCCAACUUGCAAAAUGGAAGAACAAACUGAAUAUAUAUCUUGCCCCGUUUCUUCAUGGCACGCGCUAUACAUCUUAUGGGCGGCAUUUUACAAAACUGGACAAGCUCGAGAAGAUUGUAGAUAAGUUACAAUGGUAUGUUCAAAGUGGUGAUACGGUCGUUGACUUCUGCUGUGGUUCAAAUGAUUUUAGCACAUUAUUGAAGGAAAAGCUUGAAGCUUCUGAAAAGAAUUGCUUCUAUAAAAAUUAUGAUCUCAUCCAGCCAAAGAAUGAUUUCAAUUUUGAGAGGAGAGACUGGAUGACUGUUCAACCAGAUGAAUUGCCAGCCGGAUCCCGAUUGAUCAUGGGGCUGAAUCCCCCUUUUGGGUUUAAAGCUUCACUUGCAAACCAGUUCAUCAACAAAGCCCUAACUUUCAAGCCAAAGCUGAUAAUUCUUAUUGUUCCCAAGGAAACAGAAAGGUUGGAUAAAAAAUACCCACCUUAUGAGCUAAUAUGGGAGGAUUCUAAUCAGCUCGCAGGAAAGUCGUUCUAUUUGCCUGGAUCGUUUGAUGCUGAUAAUAAGCAGAUGGAUCAGUGGAAUCUAUCACCUCCUCCUCUUUCUCUGUGGAGCCGUAGUGAUUUUGCUCAGAAACAUAAUGAGAUUGCUAAAUCAAAGGGGCACCUCUGCAGCAGAAGACCGAGCUAUAAUGAUUCACAAAGGGACAUCGCAGGCAAUGCAUAUAUGAGCACCAGCGAUUUGGAAAUGGGCAGUGAGGGUGAGGCGUGCAUCCCUGACGAAGAAAUGCAAGGAGAGCGACAAGCAGAAGCCUCCGUUAUAGACCAGUUGUUGGCUGACACAUACCAUGAUACCACUAGUUCUCCAGGUGACUACUGGACUGAUACCAACGGCCGAUCAGGGCAACCUCGCAACUAUGAUACUCCAGGUGGAAAUGACCCUCCAACCCAUGAGUAUUUUGCAGUCAGGGCAGCUGAAUCUGACAUGAGCAUUUCGUUGUCCGGCAGAAGUGCUUCUCGGAAUCAAAACCAAACUGUGUCAACCUCUGAUCAUGAGCCUAACAACGAUCAUAUUGCAAGCGUAUCUGCCAAGCAACCAACCGAUCCUGCUGAUUGUGACGAGGUAACAUCAGCUGAUGCCCAGCAUGGGCUGGGAGACCCACCGUCUGCACCAGAAAAUGCAGCUGGAGUUCAAUACCGAAUCCUGGAAGACUCCCCACCUGAGGAAGGACAGCUGGGAGACCCACCGUCUGCACCAGAAAAUGCAGCUGGAGUUCAAUACCGAAUCCUGGAAGACUCCCCACCUGAGGAAGGACAGCUGACACCUGAGGAAGCACAGCCGAAUGAUUUGUCGUCUACAGAUGGAAAUGCAGCUGGUGUGCCGAUGCUGGAGGAGUCGCCACUUGAAACAGAUGCUCCAGUGGGUGCAGCGAAUCUGCCACUAGCGCAUACCUUCCCGGGGCUGCAGUUUGCAAGCGCUCCCACGUGGCCUGGAUGCUACGCUGCUCGUGAAGUUCUGUCGCGAGGCAUGGGCUACCCGACCUUCCAUCAGGAAGCCUCCUACAACUUGCUUGAGAAGUAA
RNAcentral lists this ribosomal RNA (2739 nucleotides) under Triticum aestivum (bread wheat). RNAcentral describes it as "partial small subunit ribosomal RNA". The record is from RNAcentral. Lineage: Eukaryota; Viridiplantae; Streptophyta; Magnoliopsida; Poales; Poaceae.